UUUGUAGGUGGCUUGCUCAGUCAGACGUGAAAUCCCUCAGCUUAACUGGGGAACUGCGUCUGAUACUAGCGAGCUUGAGUGCAGGAGAGGAACGCGGAAUUCCAGGUGUAGCGGUGAAAUGCGUAGAUAUCUGGAGGAACACCGGUGGCGAAGGCGGCGUUCUGGACUGCAACUGACACUGAAAAACGAAAGCCAGGGGAGCAAACG
This 207-nucleotide ribosomal RNA is filed under the name uncultured bacterium. RNAcentral describes it as "partial 16S ribosomal RNA". It matches the Rfam family "Bacterial small subunit ribosomal RNA", at positions 568 to 774 of the family's 1533-position model. The record is from RNAcentral.